Molecule: transfer RNA, 72 nt
Filed under: Bos taurus (domestic cattle)
Lineage: Eukaryota; Metazoa; Chordata; Mammalia; Artiodactyla; Bovidae
Rfam family: tRNA
About the family: Transfer RNA (tRNA) molecules are approximately 80 nucleotides in length. Their secondary structure includes four short double-helical elements and three loops (D, anti-codon, and T loops).
Source: Rfam by way of RNAcentral
UCCCUGGUGGCUUAGAUGGUAAAGAAUCUGCCCGCAAUGCGGGAGACCCAGGUUCGACCCCUGGACUGGGAA